This 993-nucleotide long non-coding RNA is filed under the name Physcomitrium patens. RNAcentral's name for it is "long non-coding RNA (PPAT_LNC001553)". Lineage: Eukaryota; Viridiplantae; Streptophyta; Bryopsida; Funariales; Funariaceae. The record is from RNAcentral.
AUAAUGAAGAUCUCUAAGCCCAGUUGAAGAAGGAGUCAAUAGAAGCAUUGGAGGAGGAAGAAGAUUUGCAAUUAGAAUGAAAAUUGAUGGAAUCAAUAAUAGAUAAUACAGCAAUUGAUCAAUUGGGUGGACCAAAGAAGAUAGUAAUUUUGUAGAGUUUUAUAAAGUAGUUUUUAAAUAAGUAUCAAUUGUUUGUUUGCAAGGAUGCUGUAUAGACAGGAAUGGGGCUAUGUAGAAUAGAUAUUAAUUUUUUUUUGAAAGAUAUUGAUAAAAUAUACUAAUAGUCCAUAAAAUAGGUAAUUCAAGAGGAUGUAUGAUUGAGUUAAUUAUUAAAAGCGAUUAAUUACAGAAUUAUGGUUAAAAUGUAAAAAAUUAGGAAAAAAUAUAAAGGAGUUGUAGAAGUUAGUUUAAGGGCCAAGUCGUGAUAGUCAUGAGUCGGAGUGAGCUUGGUGCUACUUCUUUCUUUGUUUAUUUCUUAGAUUUUUUUUUCUUUGUAGAAAAAGAGUUAUGAAUAGUUUUUCAAAAAUAUAAAGUAAUUUUUUGGAAUGAAAAGAGAUUUGAUAUUGUCAAAAGAAAAAUUUGAUUUAUUAAAUGUUGAGUUAUAUAGUGGUGAAUUAAAAGUGAAUAAUUGGAAAUAUUUGUGAAGAAUGGAUAUGAAUGAAAAGAUUAUAAUAUAUUGAGUAUUAGAAAUUGAGAGUGAUUCAUGAGAAGGAGUUUGUAGAGUCUAAAAUUCUGUGAAGAAGUAAGUUGAGAAGUACCAUUAGGAGUGAAGGAUUUCAAUGUUUAGAUUAUGGAAUGAUUAUGUAGUGUCUUUUAGGAUAGUGCAGGGUUACACAUUGUUGUUAUCAGUGAUGGCAGAGUACUAUUAAGAAGUGAAAAAUAUUGUAGUGUUCUUUGGUAUUUUCAAUGGUUCAGAGUAGGAUUAAUUGUGUAAUCCUAAUAAGUAGAACUCAUGCACUUAGUCUUUCCUUGCAUUCGAAUUCCCUUCUAUAG